This 195-nucleotide non-coding RNA is filed under the name Paracoccus aminophilus. RNAcentral also lists the same sequence under 1 other name. Lineage: Bacteria; Pseudomonadati; Pseudomonadota; Alphaproteobacteria; Rhodobacterales; Paracoccaceae. The record is from RNAcentral.
UCGCUACGGAAGGGCGUCGGUUUCCGUAAGGAAUUGAAAGGGAAUCCGUCACGGGCUUACCCCCGUGAACCGGAACUGCCCCCGCAACUGUAGGCGGCGAGGCCCUGCACAAGACCACUGUGACGCAGGUCAUGGGAAGGUUGCAGCGGCUUGUGACCCGUCAGUCAGGAGACCUGCCGACAGGUGUAACUUUAG